RNAcentral lists this long non-coding RNA (1320 nucleotides) under Durio zibethinus. RNAcentral's name for it is "long non-coding RNA (DZIB_LNC001582)". Lineage: Eukaryota; Viridiplantae; Streptophyta; Magnoliopsida; Malvales; Malvaceae. The record is from RNAcentral.
AAACUUGCCCAUUAAGAAUCCCUCUCCUUUUAGAAUUCUUCUCCUGUCAGUUAAACUUGCCUAUUACGAAUCCCUUUCCUUUUAGAAUUCUUCUCUUGCAAGUCAAACUUACCUAUUAAGAAUCCCCUUUCUCUUAGAAUUCUUCUUUUGCAAGUCUUCUUGUCCAUCAAGCAAUAUCUGACAAAUCCCAAAAAUUCUCUAACAAAUCCCUUAUAGGAUUUGAGUUAAUAUUCCCAAUAAUCUCCACCUUGACUCAAAUUUCAUCAAUCAUCUAUCUUCAUGCUAGACAUGCUUGGCUUCACCUGCAAUGGAAGUUUCACACUCAUCUUCUCUUGUGUGUCUUUAUGCUUCAUGCAAACCGAUCCUUCAAUCCUCAAAACACAAACUCAAACUUUUUCCUUAAAUCACACUCCUCUAAGCUUGUCUCUUCCCAUGUCUCAAACCAUGUUCUUCCCACAUCUCGAACCUUCAGCUCUUCCACAUCUCGAACUUUCGACUCUUUUCACAUCUUGAACUUUUAGCUCUUCCACGUCUCGUACCUUCAGUUCUGAUAUCACUUGUUGGGAAAUACCACAGCUCUGAUACCAUUUGUUGUGCUAAAAGCCUCCAAUCCAAUCACACCAACGAAAGUGAAAUCAAACAAUAAAUCAAACACACAAGAGAAAAUAAUUUAACGUGGUUUGAUUCAAUCAACCUACGUCCACGGAUGAGAAACAAGAUCCACUAGUUGUAGAGAAUUACAAACAUACAUCAAAUCAUCAACCUCACACAACAAUUAAUACUCAUAAGAUACUCUCAAUCUCCUCUAGUCCUAUGAAGUAUUCUCAACCCAAACAAAUCCAAACUCAAACCCUUGUGUCCCCUUUCAACAUAACCAAAUACAUACAUAUAUGCUUUCAUACAUCAUACCUAUGUGGACCCUCUCAGUCUCUUCUAGUCCACUUACAAAUAAACAUACACACCCAUAAGACGUAGAGCCCUAAUACUCCUAUAGGGUGUCUAUCCCAUAAAAUCUUACAACUCUUUUACAUCUUUUUCUCAUACCAAACCCUGUAGAGACUUCACAUAUUUAUAACCAUACAAACUUGCCCAUUAAGAAUCCCUCUUCUAUUAAAAUUCUUCUUCUAUAAGUUAAACUUGCCUAUUAAGAAUCCCUUUUCUUUUAGAAUUCUUCUCUUGUAAGUCAAACUUACCUAUUAAGAAUCCUCUUUCUCUUAGAAUUCUUCUUUUGUAAGUCUUCUUGUCCAUCAAGCAAUAUCUGACAAAUCUCAAACAAAUCUCUAACAAAUCCCUUAUGGGAUUUGAGUCAAUAUUUCCAAC